RNAcentral lists this ribosomal RNA (397 nucleotides) under uncultured bacterium. Its description in RNAcentral is "bacterial SSU rRNA". It matches the Rfam family "Bacterial small subunit ribosomal RNA", at positions 64 to 507 of the family's 1533-position model. The record is from RNAcentral.
GAGCGCCGUAGCAAUACGGAGCGGCAGACGGGAGAGUAACACGUGGGAACGUGCCCUUCAGUCCGGAACAACCCAGGGAAACUUGGGCUAAUACCGGAUACGUCCGUAAGGAGAAAGAUUUAUCGCUGAAGGAUCGGCCCGCGUCUGAUUAGCUUGUUGGUGAGGUAACGGCUCACCAAGGCGACGAUCAGUAGCUGGUCUGAGAGGAUGAUCAGCCUCACUGGGACUGAGACACGGCCCAGACUCCUACGGGAGGCAGCAGUGGGGAAUAUUGGACAAUGGGCGCAAGCCUGAUCCAGCCAUGCCGCGUGGAUGAUGAAGGCCCUAGGGUUGUAAAGUCCUUUCGGCGGGGAAGAUAAUGACGGUACCCGCAGAAGAAGCCCCGGCUAACUUCGUG